AACGAACGCUGGCGGCAUGCCUAACACAUGCAAGUCGAACGAAACCUUCGGGUCUAGUGGCGCACGGGUGCGUAACGCGUGGGAACCUGCCCUUAGGUUCGGAAUAACUGCCCGAAAGGGGUGCUAAUACCGGAUAAUGUCUUCGGACCAAAGAUUUAUCGCCUUUGGAUGGGCCCGCGUUGGAUUAGCUAGUUGGUAGGGUAAAAGCCUACCAAGGCGACGAUCCAUAGCUGGUCUGAGAGGAUGAUCAGCCACACUGGGACUGAGACACGGCCCAGACUCCUACGGGAGGCAGCAGUGGGGAAUAUUGGACAAUGGGCGAAAGCCUGAUCCAGCAAUGCCGCGUGAGUGAUGAAGGCCUUAGGGUUGUAAAGCUCUUUUACCCGGGAUGAUAAUGACAGUACCGGGAGAAUAAGCUCCGGCUAACUCCGUG
Molecule: ribosomal RNA, 433 nt
Filed under: uncultured bacterium
Lineage: Bacteria
Description: partial 16S ribosomal RNA
Rfam family: Bacterial small subunit ribosomal RNA
Source: RNAcentral